GUGCCAGCCGCCGCGGUAAUACGUACCGUCCAAACGUUAUUCGGAAUUACUGGGCUUAAAGGGUACGUAGGCGGCGCUGUCAGUCGGGUGUGAAAUCCCAGGGCUCAACCCUGGAACUGCGCCCGAUACUGCAGUGCUUGAGGGAGACAGAGGUAAGCGGAACUGAUGGUGGAGCGGUGAAAUGCGUUGAUAUCAUCAGGAACACCAGUGGCGAAAGCGGCUUACUGGGUCUCUUCUGACGCUGAGGUACGAAAGCUAGGGGAGCGAAGGGGAUUAGAUACCCUUGUAGUCC
Molecule: ribosomal RNA, 292 nt
Filed under: uncultured bacterium
Lineage: Bacteria
Description: partial 16S ribosomal RNA
Rfam family: Bacterial small subunit ribosomal RNA
Source: RNAcentral